RNAcentral lists this ribosomal RNA (845 nucleotides) under Scytinostroma jacksonii. Its description in RNAcentral is "LSU rRNA". It matches the Rfam family "Eukaryotic large subunit ribosomal RNA", at positions 64 to 936 of the family's 3401-position model. The record is from RNAcentral. Lineage: Eukaryota; Fungi; Basidiomycota; Agaricomycetes; Russulales; Lachnocladiaceae.
ACUAACAGGAUUCCCCUAGUAACUGCGAGUGAAGCGGGAAGAGCUCAAAUUUAAAAUCUGGCGGUUUUGCCGUCCGAGUUGUAAUUUAGAGAAGUGUUUUCCGCGCCGGACCGUGUACAAGUCUCCUGGAACGGAGCGUCAUAGAGGGUGAGAAUCCCGUCUUUGACACGGAUGCCCGGUGCUCUGUGAUACRCUCUCGAAGAGUCGAGUUGUUUGGGAAUGCAGCUCAAAAUGGGUGGUGAACUCCAUCUAAAGCUAAAUAUUGGCGAGAGACCGAUAGCGAACAAGUACCGUGAGGGAAAGAUGAAAAGCACUUUGGAAAGAGAGUGAAACAGUACGUGAAAUUGCUGAAAGGGAAACGCUUGAAGUCAGUCGCGUCUGCCGGGAUUCAGCCYUYGUGGUGUACUUUCCGGUAGACGGGCCAGCAUCACUUUUGGUUGCCGGAAAAGGGUGGGGGGAAUGUGGCACCUUCGGGUGUGUUAUAGCCCCCUGYCGUAUACGGUGGCUGGGAGUGAGGGAUGCCUAUUUUGUAGGAUGCUGGCGUAAUGGCUUUAAACGACCCGUCUUGAAACACGGACCAAGGAGUCUAACAUGCCCGCGAGUGUUCGGGUGGAAAACCCGUGCGCGUAAUGAAAGUGAAAGUUGGGAAGGCUGUCGUGGCCUGCACCGACGCCCGGACCUGAGAUUUAUCGACGGUUCUGCGGUAGAGCGUGUAUGUUGGGACCCGAAAGAUGGUGAACUAUGCCUGAAUAGGGUGAAGCCAGAGGAAACUCUGGUGGAGGCUCGUAGCGAUUCUGACGUGCAAAUCGAUCGUCAAAUUUGGGUAUAGGGGCGAAAGACUAAUC